Molecule: long non-coding RNA, 629 nt
Filed under: Prunus persica (peach)
Lineage: Eukaryota; Viridiplantae; Streptophyta; Magnoliopsida; Rosales; Rosaceae
Description: long non-coding RNA (PPER_LNC001028)
Source: RNAcentral
UGACUUUGGAGUGAGAUCCAAUCUCUAGAACUAUGCUAUACACCAACCAUUCCAAUUCAGAACGAACUUCGUACGAACCUGAAUUGUCCAAUUUCAUUUACCAAUCGAUAUCGGAUUGAACCCAAAACUUGGGGAACAUCACAAGAUGCUGGGAGGGCUCAUUUGGUAGGUUUUGAGAGAUAUCCAAUCUCUAGAGCUAUGCAAUAAAAUAACCACUCCAUUUCUUAAUGAACUUCGUACGAACCUGAAUUGUUCAAUUUCAUCGACCAAUCGAUAUCGGAUUGAGUCCAAAACUUGGGGAACAUCAUAACAUGGUGGGAGGAGUCAUUUCGUGAGUUUUGAGUGAAAUCUAAUAUCUAAAACUAUGCAAUACACCAACCACUCCAUUUCAGAACGAACUUCGUACGAACCUGAAUUGUGCAAUUUCAUGGACCAAUCGAUAUCGGAUUGAGUCCAAAAAUUGGGAAACAUCAUAAUAUGGUGGGAGUAGUCAUUUCGUGAGUUUUGAGUGAAAUCCAAUCUCUAAACCUAUGCAAUACACUAACCACUCCAUUUCAGAACGAACUUCGUACGAACCUGAAUUGUGCAAUUUCAUGGACCAAUUGAUAUCGGAUUGAGUCCAAAACUUG